AAUAAUAUACUAUAAUAAUAUACUAUAUAUUAGAUAUAUAUGUUUAUUAGUAAAUUUUAUUUUUUAUUA
Molecule: transfer RNA, 69 nt
Filed under: Prunus humilis
Lineage: Eukaryota; Viridiplantae; Streptophyta; Magnoliopsida; Rosales; Rosaceae
Description: tRNA-Leu
Source: RNAcentral